RNAcentral lists this ribosomal RNA (512 nucleotides) under uncultured bacterium. RNAcentral describes it as "bacterial SSU rRNA". It matches the Rfam family "Bacterial small subunit ribosomal RNA", at positions 30 to 526 of the family's 1533-position model. The record is from RNAcentral.
AUUGAACGCUGGCGGUAUGCUUAACACAUGCAAGUCGAACGGCAGCACGAGGAAAGUUUACUUUCUUCGGUGGCGAGUGGCGGACGGGUGAGUAAUGCAUAGGAAUCUACCUUUUAGUCUAGGAUAACUACCCGAAAGGGUGGCUAAUACUGGAUGUGGACUACGGUUUAAAGCAGGGGACCUUCGGGCCUUGCGCUAAGAGAUGAGCCUAUGUGGGAUUAGCUAGUUGGUGAGGUAAUGGCUCACCAAGGCGACGAUCUCUAGCUGGUUUGAGAGGAUGAUCAGCCACACUGGGACUGAGACACGGCCCAGACUCCUACGGGAGGCAGCAGUGGGGAAUAUUGGACAAUGGGCGAAAGCCUGAUCCAGCAAUACCGCGUGUGUGAAGAAGGCCCUAGGGUUGUAAAGCACUUUUGUUAGGGAGAACGGGUCUUACUAUUAAUACUAGUAGGAUUUGAUGUUACCUAAAGAAUAAGCACCGGCUAACUCCGUGCCAGCCGCCGCAGUAAUAC